GUUUUCGUGGUGUAAUGGUUAGCACAUUCGACGGGUAUUCGAGAGGUGCGAGGUUCGAGUCCCGCGGAAGGCA
RNAcentral lists this transfer RNA (73 nucleotides) under Stegodyphus mimosarum. It matches the Rfam family "tRNA". From Rfam's summary of the family: Transfer RNA (tRNA) molecules are approximately 80 nucleotides in length. Their secondary structure includes four short double-helical elements and three loops (D, anti-codon, and T loops). The record is from Rfam by way of RNAcentral. Lineage: Eukaryota; Metazoa; Arthropoda; Arachnida; Araneae; Eresidae.